RNAcentral lists this ribosomal RNA (824 nucleotides) under Nocardioides sp. RNAcentral describes it as "bacterial SSU rRNA". It matches the Rfam family "Bacterial small subunit ribosomal RNA", at positions 21 to 859 of the family's 1533-position model. Lineage: Bacteria; Bacillati; Actinomycetota; Actinomycetes; Propionibacteriales; Nocardioidaceae. The record is from RNAcentral.
GGCUCAGGACGAACGCUGGCGGCGUGCUUAACACAUGCAAGUCGAGCGGAAAGGCCACUUCGGUGGUACUCGAGCGGCGAACGGGUGAGUAACACGUGAGUAAUCUGCCCCUGACUUUGGGAUAGCCACCGGAAACGGUGAUUAAUACCGGAUAUGACGCGGCCUCGCAUGGGGUUGUGUGGAAAGUUUUUCGGUCAGGGAUGUGCUCGCGGCCUAUCAGCUUGAUGGUGAGGUAAUGGCUCACCAUGGCUUCGACGGGUAGCCGGCCUGAGAGGGUGACCGGUCACACUGGGACUGAGACACGGCCCAGACUCCUACGGGAGGCAGCAGUGGGGAAUAUUGGACAAUGGGCGGAAGCCUGAUCCAGCAACGCCGCGUGAGGGAUGACGGCCUUCGGGUUGUAAACCUCUUUCAGUACCGACGAAGCGCAAGUGACGGUAGGUACAGAAGAAGCACCGGCCAACUACGUGCCAGCAGCCGCGGUAAUACGUAGGGUGCGAGCGUUGUCCGGAAUUAUUGGGCGUAAAGGGCUCGUAGGCGGUUUGUCGCGUCGGGAGUGAAAACGCCGUGCUUAACACGGCGCUUGCUUUCGAUACGGGCAGACUAGAGGUAUGCAGGGGAGAACGGAAUUCCUGGUGUAGCGGUGAAAUGCGCAGAUAUCAGGAGGAACACCGGUGGCGAAGGCGGUUCUCUGGGCAUUACCUGACGCUGAGGAGCGAAAGUGUGGGGAGCGAACAGGAUUAGAUACCCUGGUAGUCCACACCGUAAACGUUGGGCGCUAGGUGUGGGGUCCAUUCCACGGAUUCCGUGCCGCAGCUAACGCA